This 439-nucleotide ribosomal RNA is filed under the name uncultured bacterium. RNAcentral's name for it is "partial 16S ribosomal RNA". It matches the Rfam family "Bacterial small subunit ribosomal RNA", at positions 339 to 795 of the family's 1533-position model. The record is from RNAcentral.
CUACGGGACGCUGCAGUGGGGAAUAUUGGACAAUGGGCGAAAGCCUGAUCCAGCAAUGCCGCGUGAGUGAUGAAGGCCUUAGGGUUGUAAAGCUCUUUUACCCGGGAAGAUAAUGACUGUACCGGGAGAAUAAGCCCCGGCUAACUCCGUGCCAGCAGCCGCGGUAAUACGGAGGGGGCUAGCGUUGUUCGGAAUUACUGGGCGUAAAGCGCACGUAGGCGGCUUUGUAAGUCAGAGGUGAAAGCCUGGGGCUCAACCCCAGAACUGCCUUUGAGACUGCAUCGCUUGAGCACGGGAGAGGUGAGUGGAAUUCCGAGUGUAGAGGUGAAAUUCGUAGAUAUUCGGAAGAACACCAGUGGCGAAGGCGGCUCACUGGACCGUUGUUGACGCUGAGGUGCGAAAGCGUGGGGAGCAAACAGGAUUAGAUACCCCGGUAGUC